Molecule: ribosomal RNA, 450 nt
Filed under: uncultured bacterium
Lineage: Bacteria
Description: bacterial SSU rRNA
Rfam family: Bacterial small subunit ribosomal RNA
Source: RNAcentral
GUGGGGAAUAUUGGACAAUGGGGGGAACCCUGAUCCAGCCAUGCCGCGUGUGUGAAGAAGGUCUUCGGAUUGUAAAGCACUUUAAGUUGGGAGGAAGGGCAGUAAGUUAAUACCUUGCUGUUUUGACGUUACCGACAGAAUAAGCACCGGCUAACUUCGUGCCAGCAGCCGCGGUAAUACGAAGGGUGCAAGCGUUAAUCGGACUUACUGGGCGUAAAGUGCGCGUAGGUGGUUUUGUAAGUUGGAGGUGAAAUCCCCGGGCUCAACCUGGGAACUGCCUCCAAAACUGCAUGACUAGAGUACGGUAGAGGGUAGUGGAAUUUCCUGUGUAGCGGUGAAAUGCGUAGAUAUAGGAAGGAACACCAGUGGCGAAGGCGACCACCUGGACUGAUACUGACACUGAGGUGCGAAAGCGUGGGGAGCAAACAGGAUUAGAAACCCGGGUAGUCC